GUCUGGGGCGCCUGUCACACUUUCCGAUGGCUGAUGGGCUCUGCAGGAAACAUGGAGGGCCUGGCCUUCAAUGGGUCUGGGGGCAGCUCUGCUCCCACCCUGAGGGGGGUCUUGAGGGGUGAGAAGAAACCUGAAGAGGCCAGAUGAGGAAACAGCAUGCCAGAGGAGACCCCUGAGUCCCAGGAUAGGUGGAGAAGGGCCCAUGCAGAGUGAUGCUGAGGCCUGAGGCAGAGAGGGUCCCCUGGGCUCUGAAGAGGGUGCCUGGCAUGUUCUGGACGAGAUCCAGGGACCGCAGGGAAGAGACCAUGGAGGAUUUGGCCCAGAUUAGCAAGAAAAUCAGAAAAACGGAAGCCCAUGGAACUGUGGAGCCCAACUCCCAAAUUGGAACCCACCUGGUGAGGGGCUCCAGCAGGUAUGAAGACAGCAUCUCCC
Equus caballus (horse) is the source of this 432-nucleotide long non-coding RNA. RefSeq lists it as uncharacterized. NCBI's taxonomy places the organism in Eukaryota, Metazoa, Chordata, Mammalia, Perissodactyla, Equidae. The record is from RefSeq and is a predicted model, not a curated record.